AUUGAACGCUGGCGGCAUGCCUUACACAUGCAAGUCGAACGGUAACGGGCCUUCGGGUGCCGACGAGUGGCGAGCGGGUGCGUAAUACAUCGGAACGUGCCCGAUCGUGGGGGAUAACGAGGCGAAAGCUUUGCUAAUACCGCAUACGAUCUACGGAUGAAAGCAGGGGACCGCAAGGCCUUGCGCGGACGGAGCGGCCGAUGGCAGAUUAGGUAGUUGGUGGGAUAAAAGCUUACCAAGCCGACGAUCUGUAGCUGGUCUGAGAGGAUGAUCAGCCACACUGGGACUGAGACACGGCCCAGACUCCUACGGGAGGCAGCAGUGGGGAAUUUUGGACAAUGGGCGCAAGCCUGAUCCAGCCAUGCCGCGUGCAGGAUGAAGGCCUUCGGGUUGUAAACUGCUUUUGUACGGAACGAAAAGCCUUCUUUUAAUACAGGAGGGUCAUGACGGUACCGUAAGAAUAAGCACCGGCUAACUACGUG
This 482-nucleotide ribosomal RNA is filed under the name uncultured bacterium. RNAcentral describes it as "partial 16S ribosomal RNA". It matches the Rfam family "Bacterial small subunit ribosomal RNA", at positions 30 to 507 of the family's 1533-position model. The record is from RNAcentral.